AACAGGAUUAGAUACCCUGGUAGUCCAUACCGUAAACGAUGAAUGCUAAGUGUUGGAGGGUUUCCGCCCUUCAGUGCUGCAGCUAACGCAUUAAGCAUUCCGCCUGGGGAGUACGGCCGCAAGGCUGAAACUCAAAGGAAUUGACGGGGGCCCGCACAAGCGGUGGAGCAUGUGGUUUAAUUCGAAGCUACGCGAAGAACCUUACCAGGUCUUGACAUACUAUGCAAAUCUAAGAGAUUAGACGUACCCUUCGGGGACAUGGAUACAGGUGGUGCAUGGUUGUCGUCAGCUCGUGUCGUGAGAUGUUGGGUUAAGUCCCGCAACGAGCGCAACCCUUAUUAUCAGUUGCCAGCAUUAAGUUGGGCACUCUGGUGAGACUGCCGGUGACAAACCGGAGGAAGGUGGGGAUGACGUCAAAUCAUCAUGCCCCUUAUGACCUGGGCUACACACGUGCUACAAUGGAUGGUACAACGAGUUGCGAACUCGCGAGAGUAAGCUAAUCUCUUAAAGCCAUUCUCAGUUCGGAUUGUAGGCUGCAACUCGCCUACAUGAAGUCGGAAUCGCUAGUAAUCGCGGAUCAGCAUGCCGCGGUGAAUACGUUCCCGGGCCUUGUACACACCGCCCGUCACACCAUGAGAGUUUGUAACACCCAAAGUCGGUGGGGUAACCUUUUAGGAACCAGCUGCCUAAGGUGGGACAGAUGAUUAGGGUGAAGUCGUAACAAGGUAACC
This 731-nucleotide ribosomal RNA is filed under the name uncultured bacterium. RNAcentral's name for it is "bacterial SSU rRNA". It matches the Rfam family "Bacterial small subunit ribosomal RNA", at positions 771 to 1501 of the family's 1533-position model. The record is from RNAcentral.